RNAcentral lists this ribosomal RNA (274 nucleotides) under uncultured bacterium. Its description in RNAcentral is "partial 16S ribosomal RNA". It matches the Rfam family "Bacterial small subunit ribosomal RNA", at positions 523 to 796 of the family's 1533-position model. The record is from RNAcentral.
CUACGGAGGGGGCUAGCGUUGUUCGGAAUUACUGGGCGUAAAGCGCGCGUAGGCGGAUUGAUCAGUCAGGGGUGAAAUCCCGAGGCUUAACCUCGGAACUGCCUUUGAUACUGUCAGUCUUGAGUUCGAGAGAGGUGAGUGGAAUUCCUAGUGUAGAGGUGAAAUUCGUAGAUAUUAGGAAGAACACCAGUGGCGAAGGCGGCUCACUGGCUCGAUACUGACGCUGAGGUGCGAAAGCGUGGGGAGCAAACAGGAUUAGAAACCCUUGUAGUCC